RNAcentral lists this long non-coding RNA (2575 nucleotides) under Solanum tuberosum (potato). RNAcentral describes it as "long non-coding RNA (STUB_LNC010662)". The record is from RNAcentral. Lineage: Eukaryota; Viridiplantae; Streptophyta; Magnoliopsida; Solanales; Solanaceae.
UAUAAAAAACUAGAAUACUACUUUUACAUGUAAUGUCCAUUUCCUCAUGCAUAAUAUCACCAAAUUAAAAAGAUCAUUUUACUAUGUUACCAAAUACCAAAGAAUCAAUGUCAUUCUCAAGCAGAAAGAGUAGUGUGAAUGUGAGGGUUCCGCCAGUUAGAGGAAGAAUCAAGAGACGAAUAUUUGCUACUGUUUUUCGUGAAUUCAAGCGAUGUUCGAGUAAACACAUAUAUAGGUGGUUGCAUUAAGAGAACGAGGCAAGAUUUUUAUCCUAAAAAUUCAUCUUCUACUAUAUAUACAACGUAAUUUUUAUGUAAAUUAAAGAUGGCUUGACCCCCGGCCCUCUAGCUCCAACCCUAGCUAGUUGUAUACAGGGAAUUGAAAUUUAUCAACUUUGAGUUUGUUUUGUUUUCUUUCUUUUUCAACUAGUAUUUGGAGCCUCUAAAAUUAUACCGUGGGAGUUAUCUUAAAAUGCAUUUUUAGUUUUACCUUAAUUUGGCUAAGGUGAACAUAUAUGAUUAAAGGCAGUUAAUACUGUAUACUGUAACAUCUUAAAUGCUGAAAUUAUAUGUUUUGGAUAUAAAUAUAAUAAAAAUUUGUUGUGAUUUAUUUUUUAAACAAGUUUUUGAAUCGACCCUUUUUUAUUUGUAAAAAUGGACUUAGUGUCAUUAAAGUUGUAUAUAUUUUCACCUGAUGUCUGACUAAAUUUAGAUAAUGGCCCAUUACUUAUAAAAACAUAAAAAGUCAAUCGUUAAUUUGAAACGACCAACGAAUUUUGGAUAGUUUCAACUUAUAACGCUUACCUAAAUUGGCUAAACACAAACACCAAAUGCAAGCAGGAGUAAUAAUUAGUAGAUCUAAGAAAAUGUUAGAAAAAAUAUACGACUUACAUGACCACGGUUGGUUUCCACGAGAGAACCAGAUAAGCUUGAAGCAAAAUUGACUCCAUCAAUAAAUCCUUCCUUGUCAAUUUGGAAAUAAGAUGGAAUGAGUGGCAAAUUAGCGUAUUCCGCUACAAACAAUAACACAACAGACCAUAAGUUACAUCUCCACAACUUCAAUAAUCAACUAUAUAUAUAUAUGAGAAAAAUGAUAAAUAUACUUCCAAAUUAUCGUAAAUCAUAUGCAAAUACCCUUCGUCAUACUUUUGGGACAUUGUUGUCCUGCCAUCCAAAAACUACUUUAUACUAACGGACAUACACAUGUCAUAAUUUUAUCCACCGACCCGACAUUUAUUAAAUAUUGAAUCGACGGAUAAGACUGUGUCACGUGUCCCUAUUUAGUCUUCUGUUAGAGUGAAGGGCAUAUAUGCUCUAGUUUUUUAACGGCAGGGACAUCAAUGUCUCAAAAAGUAUGACGGAGGGUAUCUGUCUACGAUUUACGAUAGUCUAGGGUAUAUUUGUCCCUUUUCCAUAUGGAAAAAAGACAAAUAUACCCCAAACUAUCGUAAAUCGUAUGCAGAUACCCUCCGUCAUACUUUUGGGAUAUUGAUACCCCAUUUUUGGCUAGCUAAAUCAACAUGUACGAUUGAGCCGACAAAAUCAAGAUAUGUCGUAUUUUUACAAAUUAGAUUAGAUUAAUACAAUUUUAUAUUAAUUGAAUUUGAAUUUUAUAAGAAUUUAUACACUUGCCCUUAUUUGACCGGCUCCAACAAGUCAUCUCCGGGCCUCUUUUUAAUAUUACUACUCCAUCAGUUAUCACCUUUCUAUGCAAAUGUCUCUUUUUAAGGACAUAAUAUAAUUCAUAUUUUUAAAAGUAGGGUAAAUAUAGCUCUAAGAAAAUUAUCCAAUCGGUCAAUGUUAUAUUUAGGUCUAAUGUUUGUUUAUAUAUAUAUCAAUCUUACUUAUAAAAUAUUAGACUGUUGUCUAGCAUUUAUAAUAACAUGUAAAAUUUUAGAGCAUAAACUAACAUUUUUUCAUAAAAUUUUCAGUUUGUUGAAAUGAAUCUUUAAACCAUAAUUUGCAAAAGAAAUAUAUUCUAAAAGAUAGUCAUUUACUAAAUAGAUGUUGAAAGAAAGAGACAAGUUGUGAAAAUUUCUGAUAGUUAAUUAUUGUGUGGGUUUUUAAAGUGACAUGGUUACUGUAAAAGAAAAAAGAUUGACUCGGAAAGAAAUGACUUCUAAUUAUGUACAAAAAGUGUUAAUAACUUCUAAUAAUAUAUACUAGUAGUAUUGUUUAGUUGGUUAAAUUGAUGAUCUUACUUACCUAUAAAAUCAGAUAUGAGACGCCCAUCAGAUGGUCUACCAGUUGGAUAUUUGAAGAAUGAUUCACCAUAAGGCCACCAAUUUGAUUGAUAAUCACUAGUAGUGUUGAUGUAAUUAUUAUUUCCAGGAUCCAGUAUCGAAUCACCGAACACAAAGAGGGAUGCCGUAUCAGCUAGUUUUCUAUUGCACUCAACACACCCUAAUAAUAUUAUUGCAACCAAAAUGCAAAUGAAGCCAUGAAACAAGUUUGAGUUGAUAGCCAUUUGAGGAGUACCUAUUGACUUUCUAUAGCUACAUAUUUAUACACUACAUGUCAACAAGCUGCUACCCUCAUGUUUCAUGAAUUUUAUAUUUCCCAUCAUGGAUGGCUGC